This 502-nucleotide ribosomal RNA is filed under the name uncultured bacterium. Its description in RNAcentral is "partial 16S ribosomal RNA". It matches the Rfam family "Bacterial small subunit ribosomal RNA", at positions 30 to 523 of the family's 1533-position model. The record is from RNAcentral.
AUUGAACGCUGGCGGCAUGCCUUACACAUGCAAGUCGAACGGCAGCACGGGAGCUUGCUCCUGGUGGCGAGUGGCGAACGGGUGAGUAAUACAUCGGAACGUACCCAGGAGUGGGGGAUAACGUAGCGAAAGCUACGCUAAUACCGCAUAUUCUGUGAGCAGGAAAGCGGGGGAUCGCAAGACCUCGCGCUCUUGGAGCGGCCGAUGUCGGAUUAGCUAGUUGGUGAGGUAAAAGCUCACCAAGGCGACGAUCCGUAGCAGGUCUGAGAGGAUGAUCUGCCACACUGGGACUGAGACACGGCCCAGACUCCUACGGGAGGCAGCAGUGGGGAAUUUUGGACAACGGGGGCAACCCUGAUCCAGCCAUGCCGCGUGAGUGAAGAAGGCCUUCGGGUUGUAAAGCUCUUUCAGCGGGGAAGAAAUGGCAACGGCUAAUAUCCGUUGAUGAUGACGGUACCCGCAUAAGAAGCACCGGCUAACUACGUGCCAGCCGCCGCCGUAA